UUGCUAGGUGGAUUACUACUUCCUUGGAUGUUUUCAUGUUAUUAUUUCCUUGCUCCCCUUUGCAGGGAAGCAUUCUCAUCUUUCGUGUCACUUGCGUAAGAUACAACAUGCUAAUGCUAUCUUGGUUUGGUUUGCUCUUGCAGAAAAUAAGUGAAAUGUGCAGACCGACAACAUGGACGGCAGGUCUUGCGGCUCUCAGCGCCCUCAACCCCCCACUGACCUCAAUUUUGAUCUCUCCUCUACUCUUCUGGUGAGUGGGAGCAGCAUGUGGAUAUAUUGAACUAUAUAUUAGCUUUUGAUUGGUUCCCAUGAAGUACUUUGGAAUUCAUUAUAUAGUUGUGUCAGUGAAGAUGUCGUAGAUUUGUUAAUAUAGAGAACACAAAAUUUUCAUCUAUAUCUGUUGACCUUGUGUGCCAUAGGUAAACAUAUUUUCCUAUCUAUUUCUAUUCUUCAGCCUCUUUAUAUUUCAGGGUGGUGGUGAGAGCGGGUGUGAACCGGGAAAGGCGGCCAUAGGAGAUAUAUGAUAGGAAAAGAAUUGCUCUAUGGCGCAAAGGGCGAGAGGGAGCCAACUAUGAUAGGAAAAGAGGAUGCAUGUAGGUAAUCGCAGGGUGGAUGCUUAAUGUUGCUUAUUCAGCAGGGGCUAUCAACCUGUGAUUAUCUACAUGGUAUAUCUAGCCCAUCAAGGUCCUGCACAUGGUAUAUAUAGCCCAUCAAGGUCCUCCAUGGCCAUCGACUUGCUUUCUGCUCGGGCAGGAUUAGAUGCAACCUCCUGUUUGUGAUGCAGUGCCCCAAAGGCUCGGAUGCAGGUGCAAGUCAACAAUGCCAGUAGUGAGUCGAGAGAAGUGGAGAAGAGGGUCCCUCCAGGCUCCAUACAUGAAUGGUGUAUGUCGAAUGUCUUGGGUAAACUUUUGCUUUUCCUUCAUUUCUUUAUCUUCGAGUCAACAAUGCGAGUAGUGAGUCGAGAGAAGUGGAGAAGAGGGUCCCUCCAGGCUCCAUACAUGAAUGGUGUAUGUCGAAUGUCUCGGGUAAACUUUUGCUUUUCCUUCAUUUCUUCAUCUUCAGUUGAAGAAUCGUCCCUCCACUGUCAUCUUGAAGGGUGGCAUGCGGCAAUGUCGGGGAAAGCAAGGAAGAUGUUCUUGUACAUCAUCGAACAUAUAAACCCUGGUGGCCAAACUAAAUGUUUUAUAUUCCUUUGGGAAACUUUUAAGGAAAUCCUCCCAAACAAAUCAUUCAGAUAACUACUUCAGGUUAGGCGGGAGAAAUAAAAAGGGUAACCAUAGAUAUAUGGUCUAGCAUCACGAGGUUCAGGUUCCUGUUAUUGAUCAACCAUUGCUUUGCUCGACGUGGGUUAUGCUUGAUUAUGUUCUUCUUUGUAUUUUUGUUCAUGGCCUACACCGGUGUUAUCAUCUAUUUUGUUUCAAAAUUUUCAAUGGCUUAUUUUCAUGUCCCAAUACCACUUGAAAUACAACUAAGUACCUUCUGACAGGACAAUAAUGUAUGUAUUUACCUAUGGUUAUUGUUUCCUAAAAGAAACUUGAUCAUCUCACCUUGGUUUCCCCUGUAUCUGACUUGGGACAGGUUUAUGUGAGAUUUGUUUUCCAUUUUCUGUUUGUGUGGAUGCUUAAGCUUAAGCUUUUGUUAUUUGUUAGAGAUUAAAGAAGACUGAAAUAUGGGCUCAAGCGAUUGCUAUGUCUGACCUACACAAGAAUGCCAAGAAGUCCUCGGAGACAAUGAAGGACAUGUACCUGCACUACAACGAGAGAUCUGGGCUGCUUCUUUGUGGCUUUCAAACUUGAAGUGUUUGUUUGGAAGUUAGUUUAGUUUUUUGUUUUGGAUUCACAGCUUCUCACAUGUACCAUCCUCUUAGACCUUUAGAUUUCCAAAGAAACUAAAUGAAGAUAUGGUGGUAUGGUCUCAAUAGUACAACUUAAAUCGUUCCAUGCUUUAUAUUUGCUAUCAAAUUUGCUCUUCAAGAAUCAUGUAUCUACGUUAGAUCCGGUGAGCUUUAUAUUUGC
Molecule: long non-coding RNA, 2015 nt
Organism: Triticum aestivum (bread wheat)
Lineage: Eukaryota; Viridiplantae; Streptophyta; Magnoliopsida; Poales; Poaceae
Exons: 5
Source: RefSeq, a predicted model, not a curated record